Molecule: ribosomal RNA, 135 nt
Filed under: uncultured eukaryote
Lineage: Eukaryota
Description: partial 18S ribosomal RNA
Rfam family: Eukaryotic small subunit ribosomal RNA
Source: RNAcentral
UGGUGGAGUGAUUUGUCUGGUUAAUUCCGUUAACGAACGAGACCUUAGCCUACUAAAUAGUUGCUCCAAUCAUGAUUGGAUCAACUUCUUAGAGGGACUUUGUAAGCAAAUACUAGGAAGUUUGAGGCAAUAACA